GGCGUGGCCACGUCCCUCUGCGCGCUCCGCGGCGGCCGGGGAGAAGUGCGCGGAACCGGUCGGAACCAUCUGUGGUCUAGGCAGGGGAUGAGGAAUGUACCAUCUGAGGCCCAGGCCGCGCAGGGCGUCAGGCGCAGACUAUCCGCGCGCGGUUAGACGCUCUUUGGGUGCAGACUCCCGCCCUUCCCGCCGCCUUGUUGCCGGAGUUCUGCCGCCCAGCAGGACAACAGUGGAUCUCUCGUGGAGUGCAGAAGAGGAAACCAGCACCUCCUGCAUCGUAAGGCCUCUGAGCCAAGAAGAAUGAAUUGCAGUGAGGCUCUGAGGACCCUCAGUUCUCCAUUCCCAAGCCUCACAUUUUCUCAAGAAAGCAAUUCCAACAAUGAAGUCCUAAAGAGAUCAGGUGCAAGAGGCCAGAAGUCCAGUCUCAAGAUGUGCCACAUUCCCUAGAGACUGUGAGGCAGAAUUUGGCAUUACCUAGCUUCUGGUAGCUUGUUGACCAUCUCUGAUGUCCCUUUGUUUGUAGAAGUAUCACCACAAUCUUACCCUGUGCAGUCACACAGUCCUCUCCCUGCACCUGUGUCUGUGUGUCCCAUAAAUAUGUAUCAAUUUUUGUCAUGUUGGAUUAGAGCCCAACCUAAAACCUCAUUUUAACUUGGUAAAUUUAAAAAUCUACAAGUGAGGACACAUUCUCAGGUACCACGGAUUAGGACAUCAACCUAUGAAUUUGGGGGGGGACAUAAUUUGUGAAAUUGUGAUUCAUAGUAAAAAAUAUACACUUUGAUCUUUGUCUUUGGUGACUGGCACCGAACUCCUUAAAAUCCUUGCUAUUUCCUGAGCAAUAGGGGUGCUGGUAACAUCUUUUGUCUUAAUAUUUGUCCUUUGACCCUUGUUCAGUCCAGAGUGCCUAAUCCCUGGGAGUUUCCAGAGUGACAGGAUCAUCUUUUGUCCCAGUGAGGUGGUUCCUGGUGGGCUCCUGGAUGGGGGCUGGCCACAACCCAAGUUGUACCCUUCAUAAAAGUGGGUAAACAUGAGGACAGUG
This is a long non-coding RNA of Marmota monax (woodchuck), 1039 nucleotides long. RefSeq lists it as uncharacterized. NCBI's taxonomy places the organism in Eukaryota, Metazoa, Chordata, Mammalia, Rodentia, Sciuridae. The record is from RefSeq and is a predicted model, not a curated record. The transcript is spliced from 3 exons.